This 467-nucleotide ribosomal RNA is filed under the name uncultured bacterium. RNAcentral's name for it is "partial 16S ribosomal RNA". It matches the Rfam family "Bacterial small subunit ribosomal RNA", at positions 29 to 507 of the family's 1533-position model. The record is from RNAcentral.
ACGAAUGCUGGCGGCGUGCUUAACACAUGCCAGUCGAACGGAAAGGCCCUGCUUUUGUGGGGUGCUCGAGUGGCGAACGGGUGAGUAACACGUGAGUAACCUGCCCUUGACUUUGGGAUCACUUCAGGAAACUGGGGCUAAUACCGGAUAGGAGCUCCUGCUGCAUGGUGGGGGUUGGAAAGUUUCGGCGGUUGGAGAUGGACUCGCGGCUUAUCAGCUUGUUGGUGGGGUAGUGGCUUACCAAGGCUUUGACGGGUAGCCGGCCUGAGAGGGUGACCGGCCACAUUGGGACUGCGAUACGGCCCAGACUCCUACGGGAGGCAGCAGUGGGGAAUAUUGCACAAUGGGCGGAAGCCUGAUGCAGCAACGCCGCGUGCGGGAUGACGGCCUUCGGGUUGUAAACCGCUUUCGCCUGUGACGAAGCGUGAGUGACGGUAAUGGGUAAAGAAGCACCGGCUAACUACGUG